CCCUUAGAUGUUCUGGGCCGCACGCGCGCUACACUGAUGCAUUCAACGAGUCUAAAACCUGGUCUGAGAGGGCUGGGUAAUCUUUUGAAAGUGCAUCGUGAUUGGGAUAGAUGAUUGCAAUUCUUCAUCUUCAACGAGGAAUGCCUAGUAAACGCAAGUCAUCAGCUUGCAUUGAUUACGUCCCUGCCCUUUGUACACACCGCCCGUCGCUCCUACCGAUUGAACGAUCCGAUGAAAACUGUGGAUUGAGAGUCUGAGUGGGUUCGCCUACCUCAACUUUCGAGAAGCGGUUUAAAGCUUAUCGUUUAGAGGAAGGAGAAGUCGUAACA
RNAcentral lists this ribosomal RNA (329 nucleotides) under uncultured eukaryote. RNAcentral's name for it is "partial 18S ribosomal RNA". It matches the Rfam family "Eukaryotic small subunit ribosomal RNA", at positions 1470 to 1796 of the family's 1831-position model. The record is from RNAcentral.